GAUUAACGCUAGCGGCAGGCAUAAUACAUGCAAGUUGAACGGCAGCACAGGUAGCAAUACUGGGUGGCGAGUGGCGCACGGGUGCGUAACACGUAUGCAACCUACCCUAUACAGGCGAAUAACCUUUAGAAAUGAGGGCUAAUACGCCGUAGUAUUACAGAUGGGCAUCUAUUUGUAAUUAAAGAUUUAUCGGUAUAGGAUGGGCAUGCGUCCCAUUAGUUAGUUGGUAAGGUAACGGCUUACCAAGACGAUGAUGGGUAGGGGAUCUGAGAGGACUUACCCCCACACUGGUACUGAGACACGGACCAGACGCCUACGGGAGGGAGCAGUAAGGAAUAUUGGGCAAUGGCCGCGAGGCUGACCCAGCCAUGCCGCGUGCAGGAAGACGGCCUUAGGGGUUGUAAACUGCUUUUAUACGGGAAUAAUAGAGUGUACGCGUACAUUUAUGCAAGUAUCGUAUGAAUAAGCAUCGGCUAACUCCGUG
Molecule: ribosomal RNA, 484 nt
Filed under: uncultured bacterium
Lineage: Bacteria
Description: partial 16S ribosomal RNA
Rfam family: Bacterial small subunit ribosomal RNA
Source: RNAcentral